UACGUAGGGUCCGAGCGUUGUCCGGAAUUAUUGGGCGUAAAGAGCUCGUAGGCGGCCUGUUGCGUCCGCUGUGAAAUCCCAGGGCUUAACCCUGGGCGUGCAGUGGAUACGGGCAGGCUGGAGGCAGGCAGGGGAGAACGGAAUUCCCGGUGUAGUGGUGAAAUGCGUAGAUAUCGGGAGGAACACCAGUGGCGAAGGCGACUUCCUGGCCUGUUCUUGACGCUGAGGCGCGAAAGCUAGGGGAGCAAACAGG
RNAcentral lists this ribosomal RNA (253 nucleotides) under uncultured bacterium. RNAcentral's name for it is "partial 16S ribosomal RNA". It matches the Rfam family "Bacterial small subunit ribosomal RNA", at positions 524 to 776 of the family's 1533-position model. The record is from RNAcentral.